AUGUUCCGUAGAUGGCACGGCCCCCUCGCUCCAUCCUUGAGCCGAAUGGAGAGGGCAUUCAUGACCAACCUGAAAUCAUGCGGGAAACCUGCAUCAAGGCUGGGCCAGUUCAGAGGACUAGGAGAGCUGUCUUCUGCUAAUGAAGUGCACUUGUGUGAGGUUUUGAAGGUAGAAGAGAAAUGGAAUAUAUUCUUCUUCCCUGUGCAUCGAGGUUGGACAUGGAAGCUGUGAACUGAAGUUUGGCACUUGCCAUCAGCCUCUACAUGGAGUAAAACAGUCCCUGCAGCUGCCGACCCACAAGCCCCCUGAGCGGACCUCAGGGUGGAGGCCAGGAGGGAGGCCCUCUGUGCUCUGGGGAUACUGGAAGAACAGGUCUUCAGAUGGUUAGACAUUUUUAGGAGAAGAUUUUAUGAGCCUGAUUCUUACAUCUCCUCAUAUCUAGAAAAACACUAAAAUUCUUCAGUGAUGACUGAUGUU
Molecule: long non-coding RNA, 477 nt
Filed under: Sus scrofa (pig)
Lineage: Eukaryota; Metazoa; Chordata; Mammalia; Artiodactyla; Suidae
Description: lncRNA (ENSSSCG00050051409.1)
Source: RNAcentral